UACACACAAGAAGGCCCUGAGGCAUUAUAAUUUGAGGCAUUAUAAGCAAAUUAAGAACACUCAAAAGAAGCUGAUGAAAGAAGAUGUCUAUCAGAUAUGUUUGCCUUGAAUUUCCUGAUGGACUGUAACAAUUUACCUCAUUGGACCCUUGUACACAAGCAUCAGGGACUAAGUGCACUGACCACCACCUUUCAGUCUGACAACCUGUCUCAGUGUUGAAAAACAGUUCAAGGUAGCACUCUAGACCAAACGUGUCAUUUUCCUUGUCAAAAUGAAAACUGUAAAUUUUAAACUUAA
This is a long non-coding RNA of Antechinus flavipes (yellow-footed antechinus), 297 nucleotides long. RefSeq lists it as uncharacterized. The transcript is spliced from 2 exons. Lineage: Eukaryota; Metazoa; Chordata; Mammalia; Dasyuromorphia; Dasyuridae. The record is from RefSeq and is a predicted model, not a curated record.